This 203-nucleotide unclassified non-coding RNA is filed under the name Hevea brasiliensis (rubber tree). The record is from RNAcentral. Lineage: Eukaryota; Viridiplantae; Streptophyta; Magnoliopsida; Malpighiales; Euphorbiaceae.
GAAACAAAAUAAUAAAUAAAUUUAGCCUGGAUUAAGUUCAGUGGCUAGGCAUAUCUAAGUAAACUGAGGUUUGAUCCCACUCCUUCAAUCCUUUACUAAAAAAAAAUCUAUUUGGAAAUGAAAGACAAUUUUAUAUAAGCAUUUCACAUUAAUCUAAUUAUACCCAUUUGAAAACAAAUUAAUAAUUUAAUUAUACCCAAUUU